This 484-nucleotide ribosomal RNA is filed under the name uncultured bacterium. RNAcentral describes it as "partial 16S ribosomal RNA". It matches the Rfam family "Bacterial small subunit ribosomal RNA", at positions 30 to 507 of the family's 1533-position model. The record is from RNAcentral.
AUUGAACGCUGGCGGCAGGCCUAACACAUGCAAGUCGAGCGGAUGAAGGGAGCUGCCUCCUGGAUUCGGCGGCGGACGGGUAAGUAAGGCCUAGGAAUCUGCCUGUUAGUGGGGGAUAACGUCCGGAAACGGGCGCUAAUACCGCUUACGCCUUGGGGGAGAAAGUGGGGGAUCUUCGGACCUCACGCUAUCAGAUGAGCCUAGGUCGGAUUAGCUAGUUGGUGGGGUAAAGGCCUACCAAGGCGACGAUCCGUAACUGGUCUGAGAGGAUGAUCAGUCACACUGGAACUGAGACACGGUCCAGACUCCUACGGGAGGCAGCAGUGGGGAAUAUUGGACAAUGGGCGAAAGCCUGAUCCAGCCAUGCCGCGUGUGUGAAGAAGGUCUUCGGAUUGUAAAGCACUUUAAGUUGGGAGGAAGGGCAGUAAGUUAAUACCUUGCUGUUUUGACGUUACCAACAGAAUAAGCACCGGCUAACUUCGUG